AUUGAACGCUGGCGGUAUGCUUAACACAUGCAAGUCGAACGGUAACAGCAAGAGCUUGCUCUUGGCUGACGAGUGGCGGACGGGUGAGUAACGCGUGGGAAUCUGCCUAGUAGUUGGGGACAACCUGGUGAAAACCAGGCUAAUACCGAAUGUGGUCUACGGACUAAAGCAGGGGAUCUUCGGACCUUGCGCUACUAGAUGAGCCCGCGUUAGAUUAGCUAGUUGGUGAGGUAAAAGCUCACCAAGGCGACGAUCUAUAGCUGGUCUGAGAGGACGAUCAGCCACACUGGGACUGAGACACGGCCCAGACUCCUACGGGAGGCAGCAGUGGGGAAUAUUGGACAAUGGGCGCAAGCCUGAUCCAGCAAUACCGCGUGUGUGAAGAAGGCCUGAGGGUUGUAAAGCACUUUCAAUUGUGAAGAAAGGAUUAAGGUUAAUAACCUUGAUUUUUGACGUUAACUUUAGAAGAAGCACCGGCUAACCCUGUGCCAGCAGCCGCGGUAAUACAGGGGGUGCGAGCGUUAAUCGGAAUUACUGGGCGUAAAGCGUACGUAGGCGGAUAUUUAAGUCAGAUGUGAAAGCCCCGGGCUCAACCUGGGAACUGCAUUUGAAACUGGAUGUCUAGAGUUUGGUAGAGGCGGGUAGAAUUCCUAGUGUAGCGGUGAAAUGCGUAGAUAUUAGGAGGAAUACCAGUGGCGAAGGCGGCCCGCUGGACCAAAACUGACGCUGAGGUACGAAAGCGUGGGGAGCAAACGGGAUUAGAUACCCCGGUAGUCCACGCCGUAAACGAUGUCAACUAGUCGUUGGGUCCUUCGGGGCUUAGUGACGCAGCUAACGCGUGAAGUUGACCGCCUGGGGAGUACGGCCGCAAGGCUAAAACUCAAAUGAAUUGACGGGGGCCCGCACAAGCGGUGGAGCAUGUGGUUUAAUUCGAUGCAACGCGAAGAACCUUACCUACCCUUGACAUCAUCAGAACUUGUUAGAGAUAACUCGGUGCCUUCGGGAACUGAAUGACAGGUGCUGCAUGGCUGUCGUCAGCUCGUGUCGUGAGAUGUUGGGUUAAGUCCCGCAACGAGCGCAACCCUUGUCCUUAGUUGCCAGCACGUAAUGGUGGGAACUCUAAGGAGACUGCCGGUGAUAAACCGGAGGAAGGUGGGGAUGACGUCAAGUUAUCAUGGCCCUUAUGGGUAGGGCUACACACGUGCUACAAUGGUACAUACAGAGGGCAGCGACCUCGCGAGAGCAAGCAAAUCCCAGAAAGUGUAUCGUAGUCCGGAUUGGAGUCUGCAACUCGACUCCAUGAAGUCGGAAUCGCUAGUAAUCGUGAAUCAGAAUGUCACGGUGAAUACGUUCCCGGGCCUUGUACACACCGCCCGUCACACCAUGGGAGUGGGCUGCAAAAGAAGUAGGUAGCAUAACCUUCGGGGGUGCGCUUACCACUUUGUGGUUCAUGACUGG
RNAcentral lists this ribosomal RNA (1458 nucleotides) under gamma proteobacterium endosymbiont of Siboglinum fiordicum. Its description in RNAcentral is "bacterial SSU rRNA". It matches the Rfam family "Bacterial small subunit ribosomal RNA". The record is from RNAcentral. Lineage: Bacteria; Pseudomonadati; Pseudomonadota; Gammaproteobacteria.